UACGUAGGGUGCGAGCGUUGUCCGGAAUUAUUGGGCGUAAAGGGCUCGUAGGCGGUCUGUUGCGUCGGGAGUGAAAACUCAGGGCUUAACCCUGGGCUGGCUUUCGAUACGGGCAGACUAGAGGUAUGCAGGGGAGAACGGAAUUCCUGGUGUAGCGGUGAAAUGCGCAGAUAUCAGGAGGAACACCGGUGGCGAAGGCGGUUCUCUGGGCAUUACCUGACGCUGAGGAGCGAAAGUGUGGGGAGCGAACAGG
This 253-nucleotide ribosomal RNA is filed under the name uncultured bacterium. Its description in RNAcentral is "partial 16S ribosomal RNA". It matches the Rfam family "Bacterial small subunit ribosomal RNA", at positions 524 to 776 of the family's 1533-position model. The record is from RNAcentral.